Molecule: long non-coding RNA, 1534 nt
Organism: Mytilus trossulus (common blue mussel)
Lineage: Eukaryota; Metazoa; Mollusca; Bivalvia; Mytilida; Mytilidae
Exons: 3
Source: RefSeq, a predicted model, not a curated record
ACCUUGAACUUGAAGAUGCAGUUCUAGCUAUAAAUCAGAAUGAAAACUUGAGUAUCCUGUUGAGUGUUGUUGAAAUGAUUUCAAUAUAUAUGGUCCUAUAUGAUUGACAUAUCCAUAGAACAUCCAGUUAGCCUAGACAAAUAGGAAGAGAAAGGUCUCUGAUUCAGUUCUCUUUGAAGUUCAAGGUCUUUUUUAAUCUAAAUUAUAAUGGGAAGAUGUGAAAGGAUACAUAGAAAUCUUUGGAGGACAAAUUGGUGUGAGUCUAAAAAGACACAGAUUUGAAGAUAAACGAGAGAAAAAGACUCACAAACAUAGUUUAAAGGACUGCACAGACUUCCUGAUAUCUUUCAAACUGUUUUUUUGGUAUAAAUGUAAUAAUGCAAUAUCAUCUUAUUUGUAUAGGUAUACAUCCUGUAAAUCUUGUUGAUGCCUUUUAGCUCCGUAAAUGCAACCACUAUUUAGUAACAUUGUUGUGAUUGUAGUUCUAUAUGUGAGCAUAUUAGUUAACUAGACUGUAGUAAUUGCAUAUAUACAUUCAUUAUUAUAUACCAUACUUAUCAUCAAUCUUAGUCUUUUUAAUUCAGAACUAAUUUUUAAAACAUGUUAUUCUAAUCAGACUAACCUAUUAUAUGCACUUUGUCAAAUAUAGCAAAUAUGCUGCAAAUGUGGUGCAAUAGAGAGCAACCUUUAUAUUUCUUAGAAAAUACUUUUUUUCUAAACUGUAAUGAAAAGUAUGGUUAUAUAAUUAAAAUACUUUUUUUGUAAGUGAGACAUAUUUUUUAUGAAUCAUACUAUUUUAACAAAUGUUAGAAACAAAUUUGCAUAAAAACGUUCUUAUGUAUCAAAAUUCUGUGUUGUAUAAAAAUCUUAAAGAUUUUGUUUUUUCAGGAUAUUUCCCAAUAUGUUGAAGAAAUCAAAAUGCAAAAUUUUGGCUUGUAGAUUUUAUUUCGGGAUUUUUCCCGAAAUGGGUAAAACAAAUCUAUGCACCAAAAUAAAUAAAGUGUGUGCCUGAUAUUAGAUUUAUAUUUUCGGGAUUUUUCCCGAAAUGUGAAAAGAAAUUAUUAGUCAUGAGAUCUAGGAUAUACAUUGAAUUUUCGGGAUAAAUCCCGAAAAUAUUUGCAGACAUCUGUGUUAUACAUUUUGUACUUAGUUUAUAUUUUUGGGAUUCUUCCCAAAAUGUGAAAAGAAAUUAUUAGUCAUGAGAUCGAGCAUAUACAUUGAACUUUUCGGGAUAAAUCCCGAAAUUAUUUGCAGACAUCUGUGUUAAACAUUUUGUACUUAGUUUAUUUUUGUCGGGAUAUUUUCCGAAAUGUGUUUCAGAUUUUUUUUUUUAAACGCUUUGCCAACAUAUAUGUCCUAAAAUUUAAUGUUAAAAAUGAGUUCGGGACAUUUCCCGAAUAAAUAGUUGUCAUAUACAUUUUUUUACCAUAAAUAUUUCAAUACUUUCAUAUAUUUUGGGAAAUUUCCCGAACAUUUAAUGUAAGUUUUAUCAAAUAUUAGAAUAAAAACAUGGAAUAUUGUAAAAUUUGUGUAU